Molecule: ribosomal RNA, 497 nt
Filed under: uncultured bacterium
Lineage: Bacteria
Description: partial 16S ribosomal RNA
Rfam family: Bacterial small subunit ribosomal RNA
Source: RNAcentral
GAUGAACGCUGGCGGCGUGCCUAAUACAUGCAAGUCGAGCGAACGGACGAGAAGCUUGCUUCUCUGAUGUUAGCGGCGGACGGGUGAGUAACACGUGGAUAACCUACCUAUAAGACUUGGAUAACUUCGGGAAACCGUGGCUAAUACCGGAUAAUAUUUUGAACCGCAUUGUUCAAAAGUGAAAGACGGUCUUGCUGUCACUUAUAGAUGGAUCCGCGCUGCAUUAGCUAGUUGGUAAGGUAACGGCUUACCAAGGCAACGAUGCAUAGCCGACCUGAGAGGGUGAUCGGCCACACUGGAAGUGAGACACGGUCCAGACUCCUACGGGAGGCAGCAGUAGGGAAUCUUACGCAAUGGGCGAAAGCCUGACGGAGCAACGCCGCGUGAGUGAUGAAGGUCUUCGGAUCGUAAAACUCUGUUAUUAGGGAAGAACAUAUGUGUAAGUAACUGUGCACAUCUUGACGGUACCUAAUCAGAAAGCCACGGCUAACUACGUG